CGGAGAGGGCCCAUGAGAAAUGGCUACCACAUCCGAGGAAGGCAGCAGGCGUGCAAAUUACCCAAUCCCGACACGGGGAGGUAGUGACAAUAUGUAACAAUAUACGGCUUUAUUGUCGUAUAAUUGGGAUGAGUACAAUUUAAAUCCCUUAACGAGGAACAAUUGGAGGGCAAGUCUGGUGCCAGCAGCCGCGGUAAUUCCAGCUCCAAUAGCGUAUAUUAAAGUUGUUGCAGUUAAAAAGCUCGUAGUUGGACCUUGGGCCUGGACAGGCGGUCCGCCUCACGGCGUGUACUGUCUUGCUGGGCCUUUCCUCUUGGUGAUCUGUGGUUUCGGCCGCAGGGAACCAGGACCUUUACUUUGAAAAAAUUAGAGUGUUCAAAGCAGGCUUUACGCCAGAAUAUAUUAGCAUGGAAUAAUAAAAUAGGACGUGCGGUUCUAUUUUGUUGGUUUUUGGGAUCGCCGUAUUGAUUAAUAGGGACAGU
Molecule: ribosomal RNA, 482 nt
Filed under: uncultured organism
Description: SSU rRNA
Rfam family: Eukaryotic small subunit ribosomal RNA
Source: RNAcentral